AAAUAAUAUUUGUUUUAUUAUUUAAUUUCCAUGUGAAAUUACUAUUUUACAGCUUAAUCUCAGUGAGGUUGAGGAAGGUCAGACCUCAGUCAGUGCUCCCGCUCAUUGGGAAAAUUAUGCAACAGAUCAGUACAGACUCCUCUCUCUGUCCAGAAUAUCCAUCAUCCUUUGGCCUUCCAGAAUUCACCAGGAGAGCAACAGAAUUGGCUUCGGGCAGGGACUGCCAUGCCAUUGUGGAGAACUGGGUGUUGUGUGUGCAGACUGGGCUGUACUGGGGGCUGUUCAUCUGGGGGCUGAGCUCUUGAAGCACUGGUACAAUGUGAGCGGUGUUUGGUGUGUGCCAGUCUACCUUUCCUCCCCCUGUGAUGACUCCUUGACUGGUAUCGCUAAGGCAGCAGGCAUCCAGGAUGUCCGUUGGUACCGGUAUUGGGAUAUGGAGCAGAGGGGUGUGGGUGUGCAGAAAAUGAUGGCAGAUCUGGAGAUGGCUCCAGAGCAGAGUGUCAUUGUUCUGUCUGCUUCUUCUCACUGCCCUACUGGUUCAGACCUCCCAGAAGCACUGGAGACUUAGUCCUCA
This is a long non-coding RNA of Salvelinus sp. IW2-2015, 574 nucleotides long. RefSeq lists it as uncharacterized. Lineage: Eukaryota; Metazoa; Chordata; Actinopteri; Salmoniformes; Salmonidae. The transcript has 3 exons. The record is from RefSeq and is a predicted model, not a curated record.